Molecule: non-coding RNA, 174 nt
Filed under: Evansella cellulosilytica DSM 2522
Lineage: Bacteria; Bacillati; Bacillota; Bacilli; Caryophanales; Bacillaceae
Description: Bacillus cellulosilyticus DSM 2522 Staphylococcus sRNA 414
Rfam family: Staphylococcus sRNA 414
About the family: Antisense of an annotated CDS (SAOUHSC_1422) but was considered an trans-encoded sRNA rather than a typical antisense RNA. Target prediction revealed enrichment of iron-coding genes and genes with function in cofator metabolism.
Source: Rfam by way of RNAcentral
UAUUUUCUAAGUCAGUUUCUUUAUUCCCUUUACCACAAAGGUGAACGAUUUGGUAUUUCUCCAAUAAUUGUGGGAGCGUACCUCUCACAGAUUCGUUUAUUUUUUUUGAUCCUAAACUCCCACCCAUAAUUGUUAAUAUUGGUUUAUCAGUCGUAAAGUUUAGGAAUGAUCUUC